Molecule: ribosomal RNA, 551 nt
Filed under: uncultured marine bacterium
Lineage: Bacteria
Description: bacterial SSU rRNA
Rfam family: Bacterial small subunit ribosomal RNA
Source: RNAcentral
UCCUACGGGAGGCAGCAGUGGGGAAUCUUGGACAAUGGGCGCAAGCCUGAUCCAGCCAUGCCGCGUGAGUGAUGAAGGCCUUAGGGUCGUAAAGCUCUUUCGCCAGAGAUGAUAAUGACAGUAUCUGGUAAAGAAACCCCGGCUAACUCCGUGCCAGCAGCCGCGGUAAUACGGAGGGGGUUAGCGUUGUUCGGAAUUACUGGGCGUAAAGCGCGCGUAGGCGGAWUAGUAAGUUAGAGGUGAAAUCCCGGGGCUCAACCCCGGAACUGCCUUUAAUACUGCUAGUCUUGAGUUCGAGAGAGGUGAGUGGAAUUCCGAGUGUAGAGGUGAAAUUCGUAGAUAUUCGGAGGAACACCAGUGGCGAAGGCGGCUCACUGGCUCGAUACUGACGCUGAGGUGCGAAAGUGUGGGGAGCAAACAGGAUUAGAUACCCUGGUAGUCCACACCGUAAACGAUGAAUGCCAGUCGUCGGGUAGCAUGCUAUUCGGUGACACACCUAACGGAUUAAGCAUUCCGCCUGGGGAGUACGGUCGCAAGAUUAAAACUCAAAG